UNAUGGACGCAAGUCUGAACCAGCCAUGCCGCGUGCAGGAUGAAGGUGCUAUGCAUUGUAAACUGCUUUUGUACGAGGGUAAAUGCAGGUACGUGUACCUGUUUGAAAGUAUCGUACGAAUAAGGGUCGGCUAACUCCGUGCCAGCAGCCGCGGUAAUACGGAGGACCCGAGCGUUAUCCGGAUUUAUUGGGUUUAAAGGGUGCGUAGGCGGAUUAGUAAGUUAGAGGUGAAAGCUCGAUGCUCAACAUCGAGAUUGCCUCUGAUACUGUUAGUCUAGAGUAUAGUUGCGGAAGGCGGAAUGUGUGGUGUAGCGGUGAAAUGCUUAGAUAUCACACAGAACACCGAUUGCGAAGGCAGCUUUCCAAGCUAUUACUGACGCUGAUGCACGAAAGCGUGGGGAGCGAACAGGAUUAGAUACCCUGGUAGUCCAAGGGCGAAUUC
This 442-nucleotide ribosomal RNA is filed under the name uncultured bacterium. RNAcentral's name for it is "SSU rRNA". It matches the Rfam family "Bacterial small subunit ribosomal RNA", at positions 369 to 808 of the family's 1533-position model. The record is from RNAcentral.